UGUCAUUGAAAAUGUGUUGUCUCAUGAUA
Molecule: non-coding RNA, 29 nt
Filed under: Rattus norvegicus (Norway rat)
Lineage: Eukaryota; Metazoa; Chordata; Mammalia; Rodentia; Muridae
Source: RNAcentral